GAUGAAGAACGCAGCGAAAUGCGAUACGUAAUGUGAAUUGCAGAAUUCAGUGAAUCAUCGAGUCUUUGAACGCACAUUGCGCCCCCUGGUAUUCCGGGGGGCAUGCCUGUCCGAGCGUCAUUGCUGCCCUCAAGCACGGCUUGUGUGUUGGGCCGCCGUCCCCGGUUUCCCCCGGGGACGGGCCCGAAAGGCAGCGGCGGCACCGCGUCCGAUCCUCGAGCGUAUGGGGCUUUGUCACCCGCUCUGUAGGCCCGGCCGGCGCCAGCCGACACCCAACUUUAUUUCUAAGGUUGACCUCGGAUCAGGUAGGGAUACCCGCUGAACUUAAGCAUAUCAAUAAGCGGAGGA
This 348-nucleotide unclassified non-coding RNA is filed under the name soil metagenome. RNAcentral's name for it is "partial contains 5.8S ribosomal RNA, internal transcribed spacer 2, and large subunit ribosomal RNA". The stretch from base 1 to 120 matches the Rfam family "5.8S ribosomal RNA", at positions 35 to 154 of the family's 154-position model. The record is from RNAcentral.